RNAcentral lists this ribosomal RNA (439 nucleotides) under Treponema denticola. Its description in RNAcentral is "bacterial SSU rRNA". It matches the Rfam family "Bacterial small subunit ribosomal RNA", at positions 29 to 461 of the family's 1533-position model. The record is from RNAcentral. Lineage: Bacteria; Pseudomonadati; Spirochaetota; Spirochaetia; Treponematales; Treponemataceae.
AACGAACGCUGGCGGCGCGUCUUAAGCAUGCAAGUCGAACGGUAAGGGCUGAGCUUGCUCCCCCCUAGAGUGGCGGACUGGUGAGUAACGCGUGGGUGACCUGCCCUGAAGAUGGGGAUAGCUAGUAGAAAUAUUAGAUAAUACCGAAUGUGCUCAUUUACAUAAGGGUAAAUGAGGAAAGGAGCUACGGCUCCGCUUCAGGAUGGGCCCGCGUCCCAUUAGCUAGUUGGUGAGGUAAAGGCCCACCAAGGCAACGAUGGGUAUCCGGCCUGAGAGGGUGAACGGACACAUUGGGACUGAGAUACGGCCCAAACUCCUACGGGAGGCAGCAGCUAAGAAUCUUCCGCAAUGGACGAAAGUCUGACGGAGCGACGCCGUGUGAAUGCUGAAGGCCGAAAGGUUGUAAAAUUCUUUUGCAGAUGAAAGAAAUAGGAAAGAA